CCCUGCCAUUUUAUGCCUGAAGCGAUUUUUCUCGAAAUUUAAAAAAGCCUAACUUCGUUAUAUUCAUUCCCACUUCGUUUUGGCCAAUUUUUUGAGAGGAAACAACCCUAGGGUUUCUCCAAAACAUAUAAGAUUCUUGAAACCCAAGAAAGGGAAGAAGAAAGGGACGUUUGGAGACGUUGAGAUUCCUUCAAUAAGUGUGAUUGUAGAACCUUGAGAAUUAUGUUUGAGCGAGAUUUAAGGUAUGUCU
Molecule: long non-coding RNA, 250 nt
Organism: Lycium ferocissimum
Lineage: Eukaryota; Viridiplantae; Streptophyta; Magnoliopsida; Solanales; Solanaceae
Exons: 3
Source: RefSeq, a predicted model, not a curated record